ACAAGCGGCGGAGCAUGCGGAUUAAUUCGAUGCAACGCGAAGAACUUACCAAGGCUUGACAUACACCGGUAACGCCCAGAGAUGGGUGCCCCUUUGUGGUCGGUGUACAGGUGGUGCAUGGUUGUCGUCAGCUCGUGUCGUGAGAUGUUGGGUUAAGUCCCGCAACGAGCGCAACCCUCGUCCUAUGUUGCCAGCGGGUCAUGCCGGGGACUCAUGGGAGACUGCCGGGGUCAACUCGGAGGAAGGUGGGAUGACGUCAAAUCAUCAUGCCCCUUAUGUCUUGGGCUUCACGCAUGCUACAAUGGCCGGUACAAAGGGCUGCGAUACCGCGAGGUGGAGCGAAUCCCAGAAAGCCGGUCUCAGUUCGGAUUGGGGUCUGCAACUCGACCCCAUGAAGUCGGAGUCGCUAGUAAUCGCAGAUCAGCAACGCUGCGGUGAAUACGUUCCCGGGCCUU
This 455-nucleotide ribosomal RNA is filed under the name uncultured Cellulomonas sp. RNAcentral's name for it is "bacterial SSU rRNA". It matches the Rfam family "Bacterial small subunit ribosomal RNA", at positions 925 to 1382 of the family's 1533-position model. The record is from RNAcentral. Lineage: Bacteria; Bacillati; Actinomycetota; Actinomycetes; Micrococcales; Cellulomonadaceae.